This 1372-nucleotide ribosomal RNA is filed under the name uncultured bacterium. Its description in RNAcentral is "bacterial SSU rRNA". It matches the Rfam family "Bacterial small subunit ribosomal RNA", at positions 28 to 1381 of the family's 1533-position model. The record is from RNAcentral.
GAUGAACGCUGGCGGCGUGCCUAAUACAUGCAAGUCGAGCGAACGGACGAGAAGCUUGCUUCUCUGAUGUUAGCGGCGGACGGGUGAGUAACACGUGGAUAACCUACCUAUAAGACUGGGAUAACUUCGGGAAACCGGAGCUAAUACCGGAUAAUAUUUUGAACCGCAUGGUUCAAAAGUGAAAGACGGUCUUGCUGUCACUUAUAGAUGGAUCCGCGCUGCAUUAGCUAGUUGGUAAGGUAACGGCUUACCAAGGCAACGAUGCAUAGCCGACCUGAGAGGGUGAUCGGCCACACUGGAACUGAGACACGGUCCAGACUCCUACGGGAGGCAGCAGUAGGGAAUCUUCCGCAAUGGGCGAAAGCCUGACGGAGCAACGCCGCGUGAGUGAUGAAGGUCUUCGGAUCGUAAAACUCUGUUAUUAGGGAAGAACAUAUGUGUAAGUAACUGUGCACAUCUUGACGGUACCUAAUCAGAAAGCCACGGCUAACUACGUGCCAGCAGCCGCGGUAAUACGUAGGUGGCAAGCGUUAUCCGGAAUUAUUGGGCGUAAAGCGCGCGUAGGCGGUUUUUUAAGUCUGAUGUGAAAGCCCGCGGCUCAACCGUGGAGGGUCAUUGGAAACUGGAAAACUUGAGUGCAGAAGAGGAAAGUGGAAUUCCAUGUGUAGCGGUGAAAUGCGCAGAGAUAUGGAGGAACACCAGUGGCGAAGGCGACUUUCUGGUCUGUAACUGACGCUGAUGUGCGAAAGCGAGGGGAUCAAACAGGAUUAGAUACCCUGGUAGUCCACGCCGUAAACGAUGAGUGCUAAGUGUUAGGGGGUUUCCGCCCCUUAGUGCUGCAGCUAACGCAUUAAGCACUCCGCCUGGGGAGUACGACCGCAAGGUUGAAACUCAAAGGAAUUGACGGGGACCCGCACAAGCGGUGGAGCAUGUGGUUUAAUUCGAAGCAACGCGAAGAACCUUACCAAAUCUUGACAUCCUUUGACAACUCUAGAGAUAGAGCUUUCCCCUUCGGGGGACAAAGUGACAGGUGGUGCAUGGUUGUCGUCAGCUCGUGUCGUGAGAUGUUGGGUUAAGUCCCGCAACGAGCGCAACCCUUAAGCUUAGUUGCCAUCAUUAAGUUGGGCACUCUAAGUUGACUGCCGGUGACAAACCGGAGGAAGGUGGGGAUGACGUCAAAUCAUCAUGCCCCUUAUGAUUUGGGCUACACACGUGCUACAAUGGACAAUACAAAGGGCAGCGAAACCGUGAGGUCAAGCAAAUCCCAUAAAGUUGUUCUCAGUUCGGAUUGUAGUCUGCAACUCGACUACAUGAAGCUGGAAUCGCUAGUAAUCGUAGAUCAGCAUGCUACGGUGAAUACGUUCCCGGGUCU